UACGUAGGGGGCUAGCGUUGUCCGGAAUCAUUGGGCGUAAAGCGCGUGUAGGCGGUCCGGUAAGUCCGCUGUGAAAGUCGGGGGCUCAACCCUCGAAUGCCGGUGGAUACUGUCGGGCUAGAGUACGGAAGAGGCGAGUGGAAUUCCUGGUGUAGCGGUGAAAUGCGCAGAUAUCAGGAGGAACACCAAUUGCGAAGGCAGCUCGCUGGGACGUUACUGACGCUGAGACGCGAAAGCGUGGGGAGCAAACAG
This 252-nucleotide ribosomal RNA is filed under the name uncultured prokaryote. Its description in RNAcentral is "partial 16S ribosomal RNA". It matches the Rfam family "Bacterial small subunit ribosomal RNA", at positions 524 to 775 of the family's 1533-position model. The record is from RNAcentral.